GUGUCAGCCGCCGCGGUAAUACGAAGGGGGCUAGCGUUGUUCGGAAUCACUGGGCGUAAAGCGCGCGUAGGCGGAUUGUUAAGUCAGGGGUGAAAUGCCGAGGCUCAACCUCGGAACUGCCUUUGAUACUGGCAAUCUUGAGUCCGGGAGAGGUGAGUGGAACUCCUAGUGUAGAGGUGAAAUUCGUAGAUAUUAGGAAGAACACCAGUGGCGAAGGCGGCUCACUGGCCCGGAACUGACGCUGAUGUGCGAAAGCGUGGGGAGCAAACAGGAUUAGAUACCCUGGUAGUCC
Molecule: ribosomal RNA, 292 nt
Filed under: uncultured bacterium
Lineage: Bacteria
Description: partial 16S ribosomal RNA
Rfam family: Bacterial small subunit ribosomal RNA
Source: RNAcentral